This 1215-nucleotide long non-coding RNA is filed under the name Homo sapiens (human). RNAcentral describes it as "HSALNT0083359". The record is from RNAcentral. Lineage: Eukaryota; Metazoa; Chordata; Mammalia; Primates; Hominidae.
GCCAAGACAAGCGGAAGCUCCGGUUCAGGGAGAACGUUCCCCAGGAAAUCAGGGCAGCAGAGUUUUCCAGGAACGGAGGCUGUGACGGUGGAGGGUGGCCAGGCAGCAGGAGGCCGGGGAAGCGGGUGUCCUGAAGCAGAGGCCGCGGCGCCACGUGUAUGGCAGCUUGCAGGAUAAAAGCCAAAGUGAUUGCUCCAAAUGGACAUCCAUGCCAGUCAUCUGUGCAUCUUCUGGUGUGUGCAGGACCCGAUGGAGGAGUGAUGAGACCUCAGAGCCAUGUCCAGGCUCUUCCAGUCAGUUGGUGGCCUCCACAAAUGCCAGCCAGCCCGCCCAAUGCAAGCUUCUGCUUGGCCAACGUGUAGCAGUUACGAUGCAGCAAUUGGAAGAGGCUGUGGGGAUCAGUAAUUCCAGUGGGGGAGCGACGGACACCCCUAAGAACCCAUUCCACGAUUUUAGUCCCAAAUUGGAUUUUGCUUGGAGAAAUUCUCUGCCCUGUAGUAGUGGUUUUUAAGAUCACAGAUAUUGGAGUAAGAAAGACAAGGCUCUUCUAUUUGCUGGUCUAUUGACUCACAGGGGAAUACCAGAGAACUUGGCAUCCAGAAAACAGUCAACAAAUGAAGACAGUGCAACUAAGACCUGGGCGCCAUGUUCCUUCCCUAAGGCUCAUUUCACUAGGAUGCUGUGUCAGCACGCGCACACACACACACACACACACUCACACACUCCAGGAAGCCUCUAAAAGAAAUGCAAGUGUUCUCCAGUAGAAGGAGCAUCGCUGAAAUUUACUCAACAGCACGGUCUUCGUGUCUUUCCCUCCCAGGCCCACACUCUCAGCUGCCUCCUCCCCUCUCGCUCCUUUCCUCCUGUGUUCUCCAGCAAGGGUGAGGACCCACUGUCAUUCAGAAAACCUCCUCCUAGUUUUUCUAUGCAGGGAGUCAUUCACACAUCCAGCAAGGAAAACAGGGGCUUGUGCAGACUCUCCUUGGGAGGUAAUGGGAGAGGGAUUCUAAAUGCUUGUCACAUUUUUACCUGACACUGUUACUACCAUGUAACUACUAAUAACUAAUGCCAACUUCUGAAUCAUAUUUCCUAUCAUCUUAUGAGAGAGAACUCUGUGGUGUAUAAACACCAAAUCACAAAUCUCCACUUUACAUUCUUGUUUGUCUACUUGUUUGUCUGUUUUCCACUGCAGUGCAGGAGCCCGUGGAGGAGACC